RNAcentral lists this ribosomal RNA (962 nucleotides) under uncultured bacterium. Its description in RNAcentral is "bacterial SSU rRNA". It matches the Rfam family "Bacterial small subunit ribosomal RNA", at positions 538 to 1499 of the family's 1533-position model. The record is from RNAcentral.
GUGAGUAUCGGAUUAUUGGGCGUAAGAGCUCGUAGGCGGUUUGUCGCGUCUGCCGUGAAAGUCCGGGGCUCAACUCCGGAUCUGCGGUGGGUACGGGCAGACUAGAGUGAUGUAGGGGAGACUGGAAUUCCUGGUGUAGCGGUGAAAUGCGCAGAUAUCAGGAGGAACACCGAUGGCGAAGGCAGGUCUCUGGGCAUUAACUGACGCUGAGGAGCGAAAGCAUGGGGAGCGAACAGGAUUAGAUACCCUGGUAGUCCAUGCCGUAAACGUUGGGCACUAGGUGUGGGGGACAUUCCACGUUUUCCGCGCCGUAGCUAACGCAUUAAGUGCCCCGCCUGGGGAGUACGGCCGCAAGGCUAAAACUCAAAGGAAUUGACGGGGGCCCGCACAAGCGGCGGAGCAUGCGGAUUAAUUCGAUGCAACGCGAAGAACCUUACCAAGGCUUGACAUGGGCCGGACCGGGCUGGAAACAGUCCUUCCCCUUUGGGGCCGGUUCACAGGUGGUGCAUGGUUGUCGUCAGCUCGUGUCGUGAGAUGUUGGGUUAAGUCCCGCAACGAGCGCAACCCUUGUUCCAUGUUGCCAGCACGUAAAGGUGGGAACUCAUGGGAGACUGCCGCAGACAAUGCGGAGGAAGGCGGGGAUGACGUCAAGUCAUCAUGCCCCUUAUAUCCUGGGCUACACACGUACUACAAUGGGCUCAAAUAGAGGGCAGCGAAGCCGCGAGGCAGAGCGAAUCCCAAAAACGAGCUCUCAGUUCGGAUCGGAGGCUGCAACUCGCCUCCGUGAAGUCGGAAUCGCUAGUAAUCGCAGAUCAGCAUGCUGCGGUGAAUACGUUCCCGGGCCUUGUACACACCGCCCGUCACACCACGAGAGUCUGCAACACCCGAAGUCGGUGAGGUAACCGUAAGGAGCCAGCCGCCGAAAGUGGGGCCGAUGAUGGGGUGAAGUCGUAACAAGGUAC